This 454-nucleotide long non-coding RNA is filed under the name Eucalyptus grandis. Its description in RNAcentral is "long non-coding RNA (EGRA_LNC005473)". Lineage: Eukaryota; Viridiplantae; Streptophyta; Magnoliopsida; Myrtales; Myrtaceae. The record is from RNAcentral.
CGGGCUGGAGCGGAUCACCGGUGAAGGCGGGGCAGCGUUGCUGCGUCUGGGUGGAAGGUUCGGGUGGUCAGGGGUGGAACUAGGAAGGCUUGAGUCCUGUUCUGGCGAUUUGCGUGCGGGCGGCGUCCGGAGUCGAACAGGGCGUCGCGGGUCUGCCUGGCGGAGCGGCUCGACUCGAGCUCGGGUCGUCGCGAGGAGGCGAUCGGCGAUUGCUGGUGUCGCGUCGCCGCGGGUGGAGCGACGGGCGGUGAUGGGCAGAUUUGGCUCGAGUCCGGUCUGCAGAGCUUUGGUGGACCGGAGCGGCAGAUCAGGUUCCGAGCGAGUGAGGGGACGGAGGCCGAGGGGGUUCCGGCGGUGCGGCGCCGAGGGUCGGUGAUCGAUGCGCCUGAGCGAUGCAGGCACGGCCGGUGGAGGUGCGAGGGCGUCCGGCGGGCUUCGUGGCUGCGGGUGGAAG